This 493-nucleotide ribosomal RNA is filed under the name uncultured bacterium. RNAcentral describes it as "partial 16S ribosomal RNA". It matches the Rfam family "Bacterial small subunit ribosomal RNA", at positions 28 to 506 of the family's 1533-position model. The record is from RNAcentral.
GACGAACGCUGGCGGCGUGCUUAACACAUGCAAGUCGAACGGAAAGGCCUGCUUUCCCUUGUGGAUUGCGGGUACUCGAGUGGCGAACGGGUGAGUAACACGUGAGUGAUCUGCCCCCAACUUGGGUAUAAGCCUGGGAAACUGGGUCUAAUUCCCGAUAGGACUGCAGGGUGGUGCCUGUGGUGGAAAACGAUUUUCUAGUGGUUGGGGAUGAGCUCGCGGCCUAUCAGCUUGUUGGUGGGGUAAUGGCCUACCAAGGCGGCGACGGGUAGCCGGCCUGGGAGGGUGGACGGACACGUUGGGCCUGAGAAACGGCCCAGAGUCCUACGGGAGGCAGCAGUGGGGAAUAUUGCACAAGGGGCGGAAGCCUGAUGCAGCGACGCCGCGUGGGGGAUGACGGCCUUCGGGUUGUAAACUCCUUUCGACCGCGAGGAAGCCACCUGGUUGGAAGGGUGGUGACGGUAGUGGUAGAAGAAGCACCGGCUAACUACGU